UCGGCUGGUGGCUUGAGUCGGCUCGGCUUAGAUUUGAGCUAAAUUGCGAUUCAGUGGGUUAAUGGUGGCCUGGUCGGUGGGGAGUUGGAGAAGAAUGUUACUGGCGGUGGUGGAAGAGGGAGAAGAGAAGGUUAUUGGUGGUGGAGGUGAAAGAGAGGGUUGUUGCUGGUGAUGGUGGAGAUGAAAGGGGGAGGAGAGAGAUGGUGGUUGUGUUGAUGAAAUAGAAGAAGAAGAAGAAGAAGAAGAAGAAGAAGAAGAAGAAGAAGAAGAAGAAGAAGAUUGAAGGAGAUAUGGCGGUGGUGUGAUCUGGUGGUGGCUGGUCGUGGAGGAGGG
This 333-nucleotide long non-coding RNA is filed under the name Aquilegia coerulea. RNAcentral's name for it is "long non-coding RNA (ACOE_LNC000497)". Lineage: Eukaryota; Viridiplantae; Streptophyta; Magnoliopsida; Ranunculales; Ranunculaceae. The record is from RNAcentral.